RNAcentral lists this ribosomal RNA (500 nucleotides) under uncultured bacterium. Its description in RNAcentral is "partial 16S ribosomal RNA". It matches the Rfam family "Bacterial small subunit ribosomal RNA", at positions 899 to 1397 of the family's 1533-position model. The record is from RNAcentral.
ACUCAAAUGAAUUGACGGGGACCCGCACAAGCGGUGGAGCAUGUUGUUUAAUUCGAAGCAACGCGAAGAACCUUACCCACACUUGACAUACCUCUUAGGACUUUCAGAGAUGAUUGUUUUCGGUUCGGCCGGGGAGGAUACAGGUGCUGCAUGGCUGUCGUCAGCUCGUGUCGUGAGAUGUUGGGUUAAGUCCCGCAACGAGCGCAACCCUUAUCGUAUGUUGCCAGCAUUUAGUUGGGCACUCAUGCGAGACUGCCGGUGACAAGCCGGAGGAAGGCGGGGACGACGUCAAGUCAUCAUGGCCCUUACGUGUGGGGCUACAAACGUGCUACAAUGGUGGUGACAAUGGGCAGCAAAGUCGCGAGGCUGAGCUAAUCCCUAAAAGCCAUCUCAGUUCAGAUUGUAGUCUGCAACUCGACUACAUGAAGUUGGAAUCGCUAGUAAUCGUGAAUCAGCAUGUCACGGUGAAUACGUUCCCGGGUCUUGCACACACCGCCCGU